Molecule: long non-coding RNA, 272 nt
Organism: Homalodisca vitripennis (glassy-winged sharpshooter)
Lineage: Eukaryota; Metazoa; Arthropoda; Insecta; Hemiptera; Cicadellidae
Exons: 3
Source: RefSeq, a predicted model, not a curated record
AAUUUGAUAGAACUGAAUAUCAAAGGCCUGGAAGGGAUAACAGUAAUCAAUGUGUCUGUACUUAUGAAUUUCACUAAAUUAAAGCACCUGUCACUGAUGACAGUGAAGAACAUGUCGGAGGUUCUGGAGGUGGUAGGCAAGAUGGACUCAGCUGGAGCUCUCUAGAGCUGGGGGAAAUGAUCAAUGUGACAGAGACACAUGUGAUACAGGGCUUCUCACAGCUCACUAAUCUCAAACGGCUUCGCCUCAAGAAGGGACAACAGGACUGCCCC